Propionispora sp. 2/2-37 is the source of this 93-nucleotide non-coding RNA. The record is from Rfam. NCBI's taxonomy places the organism in Bacteria, Bacillati, Bacillota, Negativicutes, Selenomonadales, Sporomusaceae.
CAUUCCUUUAACUUAGUCCAGAGAGGCUAAAAAGGUACACGGCAAUAUUUUUCUGCUGCAAUGCCUCUUACUCGGUAAGAGGCUGUUCUGUGU